This 253-nucleotide ribosomal RNA is filed under the name uncultured bacterium. Its description in RNAcentral is "partial 16S ribosomal RNA". It matches the Rfam family "Bacterial small subunit ribosomal RNA", at positions 524 to 776 of the family's 1533-position model. The record is from RNAcentral.
UACAGAGGUCCCGAGCGUUGUUUGGAUUUAUUGGGCGUAAAGGGUGCGUAGGCGGCGGAGUAAGUUGGGUGUGAAAUCCCGGGGCUUAACCUCGGAAUUGCAUUCAAUACUGCUUCGCUUGAGUACUGGAGAGGAGGCUGGAAUUUACGGUGUAGCAGUGAAAUGCGUAGAUAUCGUAAGGAAGGCCGGUGGCGAAAGCGAGCCUCUGGACAGUUACUGACGCUGAUGCACGAAGGCCAGGGGAGCAAACGGG